GGAAACAAUUACUCUUUUCCUUGCGGGGAAAAGGAAGAUUUGCCUAAAAAGAAGAAAAACCAACCAAAGCUUCAAGAAAUUGCCUGUGGGGAUAAAGAGAUAAAGAAAGAAGAUAUACCGAUUGUGUCUUUGUGGAAGGAAAAGAUAAUACCUGUAUAAUUCUAAAGUACGCUUGAAAACAGUGAGGAGACAGAGGUAAACACAAUCUAGGUGUCUUCUAUAUACACGUACCAGAAGGAACAGCCAAAAAUGCUUUACCUUCAGAAAGUUAGUUAAUUAAAUAAGGCUCUAAAAGAAAAUUGAAAUAGAAAUACGCUUUUUUCACCAAGCUAAUAUAGCCAAUAGAGAAUUAGAAAAUAUUUCACAUAAGCUCUCCCAUGGAAAAAAAAAUUGAU
RNAcentral lists this long non-coding RNA (395 nucleotides) under Numida meleagris (helmeted guineafowl). Its description in RNAcentral is "lncRNA (ENSNMEG00000009117.1)". The record is from RNAcentral. Lineage: Eukaryota; Metazoa; Chordata; Aves; Galliformes; Numididae.